AUACGUAGGUGGCAAGCGUUGUCCGGAAUUACUGGGUGUAAAGGGAGCGCAGGCGGGGGAGCAAGUCAGCUGUGAAAUGCAUGGGCUUAACCGAUGAACUGCAGUUGAAACUGUUCUUCUUGAGUGAAGUAGAGGUUGGCGGAAUUCCGAGUGUAGCGGUGAAAUGCGUAGAUAUUCGGAGGAACACCGGUGGCGAAGGCGGCUUGCUGGGCUUUUACUGACGCUGAGGCUCGAAAGCGUGGGUAGCAAACAGGAUUAGAUACCCUGGUAGUCCACGCUGUAAACGAUGAUUACUAGGUGUGGGGGGACUGACCCCUUCCGUGCCGCAGUUAACACAAUAAGUAAUCCACCUGGGGAGUACGGCCGCAAGGUUGAAACUCAAAUGAAUUGACGGGG
This 396-nucleotide ribosomal RNA is filed under the name uncultured bacterium. RNAcentral describes it as "partial 16S ribosomal RNA". It matches the Rfam family "Bacterial small subunit ribosomal RNA", at positions 523 to 918 of the family's 1533-position model. The record is from RNAcentral.